RNAcentral lists this non-coding RNA (181 nucleotides) under Jeotgalibacillus soli. Lineage: Bacteria; Bacillati; Bacillota; Bacilli; Caryophanales; Caryophanaceae. The record is from RNAcentral.
GUACAUUCCACUUGAAUAGGUGCCGAGUAAGGCAUAAUAGGGAAUCUGGUGUGAAUCCAGAACUGUACCCGCAACUGUAAAUGCAUAGAAACUUGUCGAGCCACUGUGAUGUCAUCAUGGGAAGGGACUUGAAUCGUCGUAAAGCAUAAGUCAGGAGACCGAUCUAUUCAAUAACGUGCUA